RNAcentral lists this long non-coding RNA (1007 nucleotides) under Struthio camelus australis. RNAcentral's name for it is "lncRNA (ENSSCUG00000010588.1)". The record is from RNAcentral. Lineage: Eukaryota; Metazoa; Chordata; Aves; Struthioniformes; Struthionidae.
CCUAAUUGCCUUAUUGGGGAGUUAGGCUAUUAACAGCCCAUAGUAGUAAGAGUUAUUUCUUCCUUCCCUGAAAAAUUAACCAAAACUGGCACUGGAAAAAAGGGAUAGGGGUGUCUGGAGAAAAGAGAUACUAAGGUGUUAUUGGUAUCAAGUGUUGAGUUUUAGCUUUUUGAACCGCAGGCUUUGACACCUAGGCAGUGCUGAAGUUGGCAACAUUACUGUAACAUAUGUCAUACUAUAGUCAUGAUACGUGAGACGUCUGCACACCGUGGUACUCCCCCUUCGUUUUGGCUUGGACGCUAAGUAGUUUAUUGACUUGUUCUGCUCCAAACAUUUAUUUUCCUGUCUCGGUCAGUGCUUUGUUUUGACAGUUUUAGGGAUGUUUGGAAAAUCAGUGUAGGAAAAGGACAAAGUCUGUGCACACUAUAAUCUGUAGUUUGCUGGUUUAAGGCUGUGAGCCAUCACAAGGUUCUUUUUGUUCUGGAUAGUGGCAUUUAACAGGUAUUUACAUACUGCUAGGUUGUUUGAAGCCAGUACUUUGUCUUCAGUAGUGACAACUGUCAGGGUCUCUGCAAGGUGCUACUGAGAAAGCAUUACACCCCCUGAAGUUUAGAGAGUGAAGAAUUUCCAGUAUAGAAAAUCUGGAGAGGACUGGUCUACCAAAUUUGGCGCCGAGUUACAACUCUAAGACAGCCAUUUUGCAGCCUACAUUUUCUUCUCUUUCUGCUUGUAUCAAAUUAAUCAGAUAUAAGUUAGAGAAAGCUUCCGACAUCUAAACAGAUGAAGAUCAAUUGAUAAAUCAACCCAGGAUUCACCAUACUUUCAAGGUACUGUGAUAUGCUUACCCAAAUGUUUUCCUUAAGCAUAAAAAAUCACAUACUUUAGAUGUGAGAUGCAUGGAGAACAGGAUAUUUACAGGAUUGCAAAGCAAGUCUGAAGCGUUACCAGAUGCAGUGUGGGGCUUUUUUUAAAAAAUGAAGGUGUGUAAUAUAUGUUUUAGUGGGAAG